AACAAAAUCAUUUCUUAUACUACAUAAAACUCAGUAGAAUGGUUUCUCAAAGGAUGAUUUUCUUGGUUGCUCUUCUACUUGCAGUUGUCGUUGGCUGUCAUGGUGGAAGAGUGUGUGAUACCACCAAGGUCUGCCCACCAUGCAAAAUUGGUGAGCCACUCUGUCUGGAUGGGAUGUGCACUUGUUUGGACAUCCAAGGCAAUGUUAAAUCAGAUGAUGAAACACUAUGUCAUUUGGACAAGGAGUGCCCGCCGUGCAAUGACGGUAAGCCAUACUGUUCCGAAGGGCUUUGCACAUGUCUACCCGAUCACUAGUCCGAUGCUAUCAAAAUUGAAGUGUUGGUUGCAAAGCAGACAUCGAUUUUGCCAACCAUUGUAAACCAAAUUGUCGUUCCUACAAUAGUAAUUAUUCUCUCUGUCCCAUUAAAAAUAAAACGUUGUCCUUUUGGAUUGUCCAAUUAAAAAUGAAAUAUUUGUUAAAAUGGAAACAAUAUUAUCCUAUUUUUUUA
This is a long non-coding RNA of Salvia splendens (bonfire salvia), 508 nucleotides long. RefSeq lists it as uncharacterized. The transcript has 3 exons. Lineage: Eukaryota; Viridiplantae; Streptophyta; Magnoliopsida; Lamiales; Lamiaceae. The record is from RefSeq and is a predicted model, not a curated record.